This 704-nucleotide long non-coding RNA is filed under the name Homo sapiens (human). RNAcentral describes it as "HSALNT0240655". The record is from RNAcentral. Lineage: Eukaryota; Metazoa; Chordata; Mammalia; Primates; Hominidae.
GCAAGACGGAGAUCACAGACCUGAGACGCACGAUGCAGGAGCUGGAGAUCGAGCUGCAGUCCCAGCUCAGCAUGAAAGCUGGGCUGGAGAACUCACUGGCCGAGACAGAGUGCCGCUAUGCCACGCAGCUGCAGCAGAUCCAGGGGCUCAUUGGUGGCCUGGAGGCCCAGCUGAGUGAGCUCCGAUGCGAGAUGGAGGCUCAGAACCAGGAGUACAAGAUGCUGCUUGACAUAAAGACACGGCUGGAGCAGGAGAUCGCUACUUACCGCAGCCUGCUCGAGGGCCAGGAUGCCAAGUAGGCGCCUGGGCACAGGGGAAGGACCUACUCCUUCUCUCUCUAGCCUCUUCAGGAGGUGGUGGUAGCAGCAGCAAUUUCCACAUCAAUGUAGAAGAGUCAGUGGAUGGACAGGUGGUUUCUUCCCACAAGAGAGAAAUCUAAGUGUCUAUUGCAGGAGAAACGUCCCUUGCCACUCCCCACUCUCAUCAGGCCAAGUGGAGGACUGGCCAGAGGGCCUGCACAUGCAAACUCCAGUCCCUGCCUUCAGAGAGCUGAAAAGGGUCCCUCGGUCUUUUAUUUCAGGGCUUUGCAUGCGCUCUAUUCCCCCUCUGCCUCUCCCCACCUUCUUUGGAGCAAGGAGAUGCAGCUGUAUUGUGUAACAAGCUCAUUUGUACAGUGUCUGUUCAUGUAAUAAAGAAUUACUUUU